RNAcentral lists this ribosomal RNA (483 nucleotides) under uncultured bacterium. RNAcentral's name for it is "partial 16S ribosomal RNA". It matches the Rfam family "Bacterial small subunit ribosomal RNA", at positions 28 to 523 of the family's 1533-position model. The record is from RNAcentral.
GACGAACGCUGGCGGCGUGCUUAACACAUGCAAGUCGAACGAUGAAGCCGCUUCGGUGGUGGAUUAGUGGCGAACGGGUGAGUAACGCGUGGGCAAUCUGCCCUGCCCUCUGGGACAAGCCCUGGAAACGGGGUCUAAUACCGGAUACGACCAUCGGCCGCAUGGCCUGGUGGUGGAAAGCUCUGGUGGUGCAGGAUGAGCCCGCGGCCUAUCAGCUUGUUGGUGGGGUGAUGGCCUACCAAGGCGACGACGGGUAGCCGGCCUGAGAGGGCGACCGGCCACACUGGGACUGAGACACGGCCCAGACUCCUACGGGAGGCAGCAGUGGGGAAUAUUGCACAAUGGGCGCAAGCCUGAUGCAGCGACGCCGCGUGAGGGAUGACGGCCUUCGGGUUGUAAACCUCUUUCAGCAGGGAAGAAGCUUUCGGGUGACGGUACCUGCAGAAGAAGCACCGGCUAACUACGUGCCAGCUGCCGCGGUAA